ACUACGGGAUGCAGCAGUAGGGAAUAUUGCUCAAUGGGGGAAACCCUGAAGCAGCAACGCCGCGUGGAGGAUGAAGGUUUUCGGAUUGUAAACUCCUUUUGUUAGAGAAGAUAAUGACGGUAUCUAACGAAUAAGCACCGGCUAACUCCGUGCCAGCAGCCGCGGUAAUACGGAGGGUGCAAGCGUUACUCGGAAUCACUGGGAUUAAAGAGCGCGUAGGCGGGAUAGCAAGUCAGAUGUUAAAUCCUAUGGCUUAACCAUAGAACUGCAUUUGAAACUGUGAUUCUAGAGUAUUGGAGAGGUAGGUGGAAUUCUUGGUGUAGGGGUAAAAUCCGUAGAGAUCAAGAGGAAUACUCAUUGCGAAGGCGACCUGCUAGAACAUAACUGACGCUGAUGCGCGAAAGCGUGGGGAGCAAACAGGAUUAGAUACCCGAGUAGUC
RNAcentral lists this ribosomal RNA (440 nucleotides) under uncultured bacterium. RNAcentral's name for it is "partial 16S ribosomal RNA". It matches the Rfam family "Bacterial small subunit ribosomal RNA", at positions 338 to 795 of the family's 1533-position model. The record is from RNAcentral.